Molecule: ribosomal RNA, 481 nt
Filed under: uncultured bacterium
Lineage: Bacteria
Description: partial 16S ribosomal RNA
Rfam family: Bacterial small subunit ribosomal RNA
Source: RNAcentral
GAUGAACGCUGGCGGCGUGCUUAACACAUGCAAGUCGAACGAAGCACUUUAUUUGAUUUCCUUCGGGACUGAUUAUUUUGUGACUGAGUGGCGGACGGGUGAGUAACGCGUGGGUAACCUGCCUUGUACAGGGGGAUAACAGUUGGAAACGGCUGCUAAUACCGCAUAAGCGCACAGCAUCGCAUGAUGCAGUGUGAAAAACUCCGGUGGUAUAAGAUGGACCCGCGUUGGAUUAGCUAGUUGGUGAGGUAACGGCCCACCAAGGCGACGAUCCAUAGCCGACCUGAGAGGGUGACCGGCCACAUUGGGACUGAGACACGGCCCAAACUACUACGGGAGGCAGCAGUGGGGAAUAUUGCACAAUGGGCGAAAGCCUGAUGCAGCGACGCCGCGUGAGCGAAGAAGUAUUUCGGUAUGUAAAGCUCUAUCAGCAGGGAAGAUAAUGACGGUACCUGACGAAGAAGCACCGGCUAAAUACGUG